RNAcentral lists this ribosomal RNA (429 nucleotides) under Bacteroidota bacterium. RNAcentral describes it as "Bacteroidetes bacterium partial 16S ribosomal RNA". It matches the Rfam family "Bacterial small subunit ribosomal RNA", at positions 355 to 776 of the family's 1533-position model. The record is from RNAcentral. Lineage: Bacteria; Pseudomonadati; Bacteroidota.
UAGGGAAUCUUCGGCAAUGGGGGGAACACUGACCGAGCAACGCCGCGUGAGUGAAGAAGGUUUUCGGAUCGUAAAGCUCUGUUGUUAAGGAAGAACGAGUGUGAGAAUGGAAAGUUCAUACUGUGACGGUACUUAACCAGAAAGGGACGGCUAACUACGUGCCAGCAGCCGCGGUAAUACGUAGGUCCCGAGCGUUGUCCGGAUUUAUUGGGCGUAAAGCGAGCGCAGGCGGUUAGAUAAGUCUGAAGUUAAAGGCAGUGGCUCAACCAUUGUAGGCUUUGGAAACUGUUUAACUUGAGUGCAGAAGGGGAGAGUGGAAUUCCAUGUGUAGCGGUGAAAUGCGUAGAUAUAUGGAGGAACACCAGUGGCGAAGGCGACUCUCUGGUCUGUAACUGACGCUGAGGUUCGAAAGCGUGGGUAGCAAACAGG